Long non-coding RNA from Gossypium arboreum, 610 nucleotides. RefSeq lists it as uncharacterized. Lineage: Eukaryota; Viridiplantae; Streptophyta; Magnoliopsida; Malvales; Malvaceae. The transcript has 2 exons. The record is from RefSeq and is a predicted model, not a curated record.
UGUUCGAAUUUCAUCAACUUAAAAUAAAAUAAAAUGUGUUUUCAAAAGUAAAACUUAAAACACAGUAAAAAAAAAAAAAAAAAACUCUUUUCCCCCACUCCAAUCAUUUGCCCUAAACUAAAGCGUCCCAAAGAUUCCAGGAAGCAGCGCCACCCUCCCUGGCACUUGUAAAUAUUUUUUUUUUCCUUUUCUCAUCAGAAUCGAAGCUUUGCGCCAACAGUUGUGGGAUUUUCGGCACGGCGGCGAAUAUGAAUCUCUGCUCCAAGUGUUACCUGGACUUCUGGGCUGGGGAAGAGCAAGCGAAAAAGGCGAAAGCUGCCAUGUAGACGUUUAAGCCCGUUUAGAAGCUGCCUCCUCUUUUUGAGAAUUAUAUCAGAUUUUAAGGAAAUUUUCAUUGCUCACUCCAAUGAAUUUUAUUUUAAAGCUAGUUUAUGAGGUAAAUGCUUUUAUUUGAAGCUGAGCUAUGAUUGCUAUUAAAGCCAAUUGGCUAAAAUCUGUAGUUGGCUGGAUUGCUUUCUAGAGUGAUGUAAUGAACAUUCACUUGUGAAAUUAGUGAAAUAAGUUCAACUUUUGAUGCUUUCCUGUUGAACUAUUAAGCUUUCGCUCAAAA